Non-coding RNA from Aspergillus ellipticus CBS 707.79, 107 nucleotides. The record is from the annotation of a GenBank genome assembly. Lineage: Eukaryota; Fungi; Ascomycota; Eurotiomycetes; Eurotiales; Aspergillaceae.
GACAACGUGUCCGAGUGGUUAAGGAGACAGAUUUGAAUUACACUUGUUCCACAGGUGCCAAAUAUCUGUUGGGUUCGCCCGCGUAGGUUCGAACCCUGCCGUUGUCG